GGCGGCAUAGCCAAGUGGUAAGGCAGCGGACUGCAAAUCCGUUAUUCUCCGGUUCAAAUCCGGAUGCCGCCU
Molecule: transfer RNA, 72 nt
Filed under: Desulfatibacillum alkenivorans AK-01
Lineage: Bacteria; Pseudomonadati; Thermodesulfobacteriota; Desulfobacteria; Desulfobacterales; Desulfatibacillaceae
Rfam family: tRNA
About the family: Transfer RNA (tRNA) molecules are approximately 80 nucleotides in length. Their secondary structure includes four short double-helical elements and three loops (D, anti-codon, and T loops).
Source: Rfam by way of RNAcentral